This 440-nucleotide ribosomal RNA is filed under the name uncultured bacterium. RNAcentral describes it as "partial 16S ribosomal RNA". It matches the Rfam family "Bacterial small subunit ribosomal RNA", at positions 338 to 795 of the family's 1533-position model. The record is from RNAcentral.
CCUACGGGAGGCUGCAGUAGGGAAUAUUGCUCAAUGGGGGAAACCCUGAAGCAGCAACGCCGCGUGGAGGAUGAAUGUUUUCCGAUUGUAAACUCCUUUUUUUAGAGAAGAUAAUUACGGUAUCUAUCGAAUAAGCACCGGCUAACUCCGAGCCAGCAGCCGCGGUUAUACGGAGGGUGCAAGCGUUACUCGGAAUGACUGGGCGUAAAGAGAGCGUAGGCGGGAUAGAAAGUCAGAUGUGAAAUCCUAUGGCUUAACCAUAGAAUUGCAUUUGAAACUGUUAGUCUAGAGUAUGGGAGAGGUAGGUGGAAUUCUUGGUGUAGGGGUGAAAUGCGUAGAGAUCAAGAGGAACACUCAUUGCGAAGGCGACCUGCUAGAACAUAACUGACGCUGAUGCGCGAAAGCGUGGGGAGCAAACAGGAUUAGAUACCCCUGUAGUC